CAGUCGCCGCGGUAAUACGGAGGGUGCAAGCGUUAAUCGGAAUUACUGGGCGUAAAGCGUGCGUAGGCGGUUACUCAAGUCAGAGGUGAAAGCCCGGGGCUCAACCCCGGAACUGCCUUUGAAACUAGGUGACUAGAAUCUUGGAGAGGUCAGUGGAAUUCCGAGUGUAGAGGUGAAAUUCGUAGAUAUUCGGAAGAACACCAGUGGCGAAGGCGACUGACUGGACAAGUAUUGACGCUGAGGUGCGAAAGCGUGGGGAGCAAACAGGAUUAGAUACCCGAGUAGUCCCUGUCUCUUAUAA
This 301-nucleotide ribosomal RNA is filed under the name uncultured bacterium. RNAcentral describes it as "partial 16S ribosomal RNA". It matches the Rfam family "Bacterial small subunit ribosomal RNA", at positions 509 to 809 of the family's 1533-position model. The record is from RNAcentral.